ACCAACAUACCAUGUACAUUUCAAUUCAUGGAGGAAAAACAAAAAUACUUUUGAAAAAAAUUGAAACCCUAACUAAUUUCUUCUCAGUAAAUCCCCACAGCUGUCCCUGACCAGAUCACCCACUCUCUUUCACGCCGGCCACCGCACACCGUCGCAUCACUUACUACGAAGAACGGUGAUCCCAUCCGUGGCUCUCACCGCUUCCCAUUCUUAUUUUCCGAAUAACAAUAACACGCAAUAUCCAAACUCUCGCUUUCAUAUUUUCUCUCUCAGGCUUUUGCUCUCACUCUCACUCUCAGGCUCCCAAUUUCAGGAUUUCACGACAUCAGUCAGGAUAUUUGGAUUUUUCCUGUAAACUCACACUCAGUUGUAUCAAGAGAUCAAGAUGUUAUGACAUCUUGCUUAACAUCCUUCAAGCACCAUGAUUUAGUAAAAUUCUGUCAACCCCAAAAACAAGGAACUAGCAGUAUUCUCUACUCUAACUUCUGUUUAUGGAUUUUUAUUUAAUCAAAUUUUUAUGCUAAGUGCGAGUUACCUUAAGGUUGUCGCAUGCUCAAUCCAAAUCUCCAAUCAGGCAGACGGCUGUGUCCUUUGAUGGAAGGUGAUUUCUUCAUAGUUUAGGUGAUGCUUCUCAUAAAUUUGAUAGAAUAGUUUUUAUGACUGUUUUUCUUUUUCUUAUGGCGUUGUACUAUUUUAAGUUGCUGCGAGCAUGCGACAAUAUGGUGUUGGGAUGAUUUUUCAAACUCCGAAGCUGCUUAACUUAUUUUCGUGCACUGUCGAUGUAAUGUGCACAGUAUGUAAUAAUUCAGCAUGAGGUACCCCUGGUAUUAUAUUAAUAUAUGGGUUGAACUA
Molecule: long non-coding RNA, 852 nt
Organism: Vicia villosa (hairy vetch)
Lineage: Eukaryota; Viridiplantae; Streptophyta; Magnoliopsida; Fabales; Fabaceae
Exons: 2
Source: RefSeq, a predicted model, not a curated record